AUCCGAUCCCCCCUGCCACUCCACAUGCUGGCCGGCCGGGACGAACCAAAGGAGGAAUCACCACCCGGGCGCUCCCGGUGCGGCAGCGUGGAGACCUGCCGUAAGGCACAGGGAAUUCUGCUUUCCCUGCUGCGAGAAAGGCCCUGCAAAGGCAGACCGAUCCGAGCGAAAGUAAUGGCU
This 180-nucleotide non-coding RNA is filed under the name unclassified sequences. The record is from Rfam.